Molecule: ribosomal RNA, 368 nt
Filed under: uncultured bacterium
Lineage: Bacteria
Description: bacterial SSU rRNA
Rfam family: Bacterial small subunit ribosomal RNA
Source: RNAcentral
GGAGCGGUKMAAGCGUUAUCCGGAUUCACUGGGUUUAAAGGGUGCGUAGGUGGGCAAGUAAGUCAGUGGUGAAAUCUCCGGGCUUAACCCGGAAACUGCCAUUGAUACUAUUUGUCUUGAAUACUGUGGAGGUCAGCGGAAUAUGUCAUGUAGCGGUGAAAUGCUUAGAUAUGACAUAGAACACCAAUUGCGAAGGCAGCUGGCUACACAAAUAUUGACACUGAGGCACGAAAGCGUGGGGAUCAAACAGGAUUAGAUACCCUGGUAGUCCACGCCCUAAACUAUGGAUACUCGACAUUUGCGAUAAACUGCAAGUGUCUGAGCGAAAGCAUUAAGUAUCCCACCUGGGAAGUACGAUCGCAAGAUUG